Molecule: RNA transcript, 2142 nt
Organism: Olea europaea var. sylvestris
Lineage: Eukaryota; Viridiplantae; Streptophyta; Magnoliopsida; Lamiales; Oleaceae
Gene name: putative membrane-bound O-acyltransferase C24H6.01c
Exons: 21
Source: RefSeq, a predicted model, not a curated record
UUGACCCAUGAACCCGAUCCGACUCGGAAAGAGACAGUUCACAGAUUGGACGGUUAAUUUCUUCAUCGCCGGCUAUCAUUCCCUCGACAAUAUAUAUUUACAUGCUAUAAUCCCAUCCAAUUCUUCGAUACAAAUCGAAUUUAGCGAUAUUUGAGCUCAGAUUGAGUAGGGAAGAAAAGUAAUUAUGAGGAGUAGCUCUUGGCAGCAGAAAGAGCUCGCAUUUCUCAUCUUGUACGCCGUCGUUUUCUACGCAAUCGUCAUUCGCCGCUCUCUCCAACUCUCCCGUGAUCAUUACUCCAAGCUCUACGGUUUGCGCCCUGGAUGGAUUUCUCAUCGAUUUAACGAUGUUUCUGAUGCCCAAUGGAGAAAUUUUCGGGGGAACUUACCUAUUCUCUCCAUUGUGUUUGGGAUUUUCACAGUGGUCGCCUGCAUGUUCAGAGCAUUAUAUUGUUUGAAGGCGAAGGGGAUGUCAAUUGUUUGGCUUCUGAUUUCUAUGGCUUAUUUAUCAUAUCUACACGGAGCAUGUGUCAUAUUUAUCCUCGCUAUUGCUUCAGCUAAUUUUCUUCUAGUAAAGAUAUGUGGAAGGACAAAAUACUUCUCAUUUGCACUUUGGGUUUUCAACCUAUCUUUUCUUCUAUGUAAUCGCAUUUAUGAGGGAUAUCUAUUCUCGAGUUUUGGGCAAAGCUGGGCUUAUUUGGAUAACUUUCGGGGAACCUUCAGAUGGCAUAUUUGCUUUAAUUUUGUUGCUUUGCGAAUGAUAAGCUUUGGAUAUGAUUACCAUUGGGCGGAUCAAUACAAUCGUUUUGAUCAAAAGAAGCACAUUCAACGCUGUGUGAAUUGUUCAUCAGGCAAGACAUGCUACCUCCUAUUACAGGAGAGAGGUGUCCCAAAUGACAGGUGUUCAUUUCCAAUAUACUUGUGUUAUUUGGUGUAUGCACCCCUUUACAUUGCGGGACCAAUUAUUAGCUUCAACGCGUUUGCUUCGCAGUUGGAAACUCCCCAAAAAAAUUACUCAUCUCGAGGAGUGGCUUGGUAUGGUUUGCGUUGGUUAUUUAGUUUUUUCCUAAUGGAACUGAUGUCACAUUUUUUCUACUAUAAUGCAUUUUCCAUCAGUGGUGUGUGGAAACAGCUGUCUCCCAUGGACAUCUUUAUUAUUGGAUAUGGGGUUCUAAACUUCAUGUGGCUAAAGUUUUUCCUCAUCUGGCGCUACUUCCGGUUCUGGUCGCUAAUCAAUGGCAUUGAGGCUCCUGAGAAUAUGCCAAGGUGUGUAAACAAUUGCUACAACUUGGAAAGUUUUUGGAAGAAUUGGCAUGCUUCGUUCAACAAAUGGCUUGUUAGGUAUGUUUAUAUCCCUCUUGGAGGAGCUCAAAAGAAGCUGCUAAACAUAUGGGUCAUCUUCACAUUUGUUGCCAUAUGGCAUGAUUUAGAGUGGAAGCUUCUCUCGUGGGCAUGGUUGACAUGUUUAUUCUUCAUACCAGAAAUGCUUGUCAAAUCAACAGCAAAUGCCUUUCAGGUGAAGGGUGCUUUUGGGAGAUUUGUUUUUCGUGAGCUUAGAGCUGUCUCUGGUGCUGUUACUAUAACUUGCCUCAUGUAUUUCAGUGAAAUGUCUGGCUGUGCUGGUGCUUUUAGGAGUGACAACUGGAUGGAUUUAAUAAAUUUCAGUGGCAAAUCUUGUUGGUUUUGUGAUUGGGCCAUCAGGCAUUAAUUGGUUGGUUUCUGAAUUCCUCCAAAAAGAAGCAUUGCCUAUACUUGGUGGCAUGUUUGUUUCUUUCUACAUUGGAACCAAGCUUAUGUUUCACAUUUCUGAUGCUAAGCAACGGAGGGAUCAGACAAGAUGACGUGAAGAGUACACUACCAAGGGGAAAGGGAUUAUUGUCAGGAAAGCUUGGAAGCAUGAUCCAUCACUUGUUAAUGUCUUUGUCUGAUUUUAAGUGACAUUUGACUCAAAUAUUGUUGACAUAGUUUAUAUAGACGCAAGAUCUUGUCAUUGUUCUGCACUGCUAGAUACUGUUUUGUGAUACUUUGCUGAUAACUAGAGUAAAAUGAGUGUGUAAUAUUUGACCUUGUAUCCAUUUCAGCAAUAUCAAUGGCUUACACUUUUUUACCUGUUGAAGGGAAAGAAAAACUACAUCCUCCGAUGAA